GGGUUACGAGGAGGGUCUCUGGGUCACCUCCCACCCGUGUUUAUCGUACCUUGUUGCUUCGGCGGGCCCGCCUCACGGCCGCCGGGGGGCAUCCGCCCCCGGGCCCGCGCCCGCCGAAGACACACAAACGAACUCUUGUCUGAAGAUUGCAGUCUGAGUACUUGACUAAAUCAGUUAAAACUUUCAACAACGGAUCUCUUGGUUCCGGCAUCGAUGAAGAACGCAGCGAAAUGCGAUAAGUAAUGUGAAUUGCAGAAUUCAGUGAAUCAUCGAGUCUUUGAACGCACAUUGCGCCCCCUGGUAUUCCGGGGGGCAUGCCUGUCCGAGCGUCAUUGCUGCCCUCAAGCACGGCUUGUGUGUUGGGCUCUCGCCCCCCGCUUCCGGGGGGCGGGCCCGAAAGGCAGCGGCGGCACCGCGUCCGGUCCUCGAGCGUAUGGGGCUUCGUCACCCGCUCUGUAGGCCCGGCCGGCGCCCGCCGGCGAACACCAUCAAUCUUAACCAGGUUGACCUCGGAUCAGGUAGGGAUACCCGCUGAACUUAAGCAUAUCAAUAAGACGGAGGAA
Molecule: ribosomal RNA, 563 nt
Filed under: Penicillium oxalicum
Lineage: Eukaryota; Fungi; Ascomycota; Eurotiomycetes; Eurotiales; Aspergillaceae
Description: eukaryotic LSU rRNA
Rfam family: 5.8S ribosomal RNA (bases 179-332)
Source: RNAcentral